GUCACUUAUAGAUGGAUCCGCGCUGCAUUAGCUAGUUGGUAAGGUAACGGCUUACCAAGGCAACGAUGCAUAGCCGACCUGAGAGGGUGAUCGGCCACACUGGAACUGAGACACGGUCCAGACUCCUACGGGAGGCAGCAGUAGGGAAUCUUCCGCAAUGGGCGAAAGCCUGACGGAGCAACGCCGCGUGAGUGAUGAAGGUCUUCGGAUCGUAAAACUCUGUUAUUAGGGAAGAACAUAUGUGUAAGUAACUGUGCACAUCUUGACGGUACCUAAUCAGAAAGCCACGGCUAACUACGUGCCAGCAGCCGCGGUAAUACGUAGGUGGCAAGCGUUAUCCGGAAUUAUUGGGCGUAAAGCGCGCGUAGGCGGUUUUUUAAGUCUGAUGUGAAAGCCCACGGCUCAACCGUGGAGGGUCAUUGGAAACUGGAAAACUUGAGUGCAGAAGAGGAAAGUGGAAUUCCAUGUGUAGCGGUGAAAUGCGCAGAGAUAUGGAGGAACACCAGUGGCGAAGGCGACUUUCUGGUCUGUAACUGACGCUGAUGUGCGAAAGCGUGGGGAUCAAACAGGAUUAGAUACCCUGGUAGUCCACGCCGUAAACGAUGAGUGCUAAGUGUUAGGGGGUUUCCGCCCCUUAGUGCUGCAGCUAACGCAUUAAGCACUCCGCCUGGGGAGUACGACCGCAAGGUUGAAACUCAAAGGAAUUGACGGGGACCCGCACAAGCGGUGGAGCAUGUGGUUUAAUUCGAAGCAACGCGAAGAACCUUACCAAAUCUUGACAUCCUUUGACAACUCUAGAGAUAGAGCCUUCCCCUUCGGGGGACAAAGUGACAGGUGGUGCAUGGUUGUCGUCAGCUCGUGUCGUGAGAUGUUGGGUUAAGUCCCGCAACGAGCGCAACCCUUAAGCUUAGUUGCCAUCAUUAAGUUGGGCACUCUAAGUUGACUGCCGGUGACAAACCGGAGGAAGGUGGGGAUGACGUCAAAUCAUCAUGCCCCUUAUGAUUUGGGCUACACACGUGCUACAAUGGACAAUACAAAGGGCAGCGAAACCGCGAGGUCAAGCAAAUCCCAUAAAGUUGUUCUCAGUUCGGAUUGUAGUCUGCAACUCGACUACAUGAAGCUGGAAUCGCUAGUAAUCGUAGAUCAGCAUGCUACGGUGAAUACGUUCCCGGGUCUUGUACACACCGCCCGUCACACCACGAGAGUUUGUAACACCCGAAGCCGGUGGAGUAACCUUUUAGGAGCUAGCCGUCGAAGGUGGGACAAAUGAUUGGGGUGAAGUCGUAACAAGGUAGCCGUAUCGGAAGGUGCGGCU
RNAcentral lists this ribosomal RNA (1315 nucleotides) under Staphylococcus aureus. RNAcentral's name for it is "bacterial SSU rRNA". It matches the Rfam family "Bacterial small subunit ribosomal RNA", at positions 214 to 1519 of the family's 1533-position model. The record is from RNAcentral. Lineage: Bacteria; Bacillati; Bacillota; Bacilli; Caryophanales; Staphylococcaceae.